Molecule: ribosomal RNA, 324 nt
Filed under: uncultured bacterium
Lineage: Bacteria
Description: bacterial SSU rRNA
Rfam family: Bacterial small subunit ribosomal RNA
Source: RNAcentral
GAUGAACGCUGGCGGCGUGCCUAACACAUGCAAGUCGAGCGGAGCAAUCUUGAUGAAGUUUUCGGAUGGAAUCAGGAUUGUCUUAGCGGCGGACGGGUGAGUAACACGUGGAUAACCUGCCUUAUACUGGGGGAUAACAGCCAGAAAUGGCUGCUAAUACCGCAUAAGCGCACGGCGCCGCAUGGCGCAGUGUGAAAAACUCCGGUGGUAUAAGAUGGAUCCGCGCCUGAUUAGCUAGUUGGCGGGGCAGCGGCCCACCAAGGCGACGAUCAGUAGCCGGCCUGAGAGGGCGACCGGCCACAUUGGGACUGAGACACGGCCCAA